GCUAGCUCAGUUGGUAGAGUAUGAGACUCUUAAUCUCAGGGUUAUGGGUUCAGGCCCCAUGCA
RNAcentral lists this transfer RNA (63 nucleotides) under Cricetulus griseus (Chinese hamster). It matches the Rfam family "tRNA". From Rfam's summary of the family: Transfer RNA (tRNA) molecules are approximately 80 nucleotides in length. The record is from Rfam by way of RNAcentral. Lineage: Eukaryota; Metazoa; Chordata; Mammalia; Rodentia; Cricetidae.